Molecule: long non-coding RNA, 1295 nt
Organism: Neofelis nebulosa (Clouded leopard)
Lineage: Eukaryota; Metazoa; Chordata; Mammalia; Carnivora; Felidae
Exons: 2
Source: RefSeq, a predicted model, not a curated record
UGUGGACUGUGGUUAAGAGCUGCCACUCUGGACACAUUUUUCUUUUAAACUAUAAUGGCUAACGUUUCUGGAGAGAUUCUGUGCUAGGCCCGGGGCUAAGAAUCUUCUGCUCCCCUCAGUUUAUCUGUUCUGCUUUACAGAUGACAAAACUAAGGCUCAGAGACGGGAAGUGACUUGCCUAAGGCCACAAAGGAGGGGCUGUCAUUUGAGCCCAAAUCUGACUGCAGAGUUUAAGGGCUUCACCCCAUACCUCUGCCUCCUUCCGGGAGUCCCAGAAAGGACGACAGAAUUCUGGAGCCCUGGAGCCUGCGACUGUCAUGUUCCUGCCAGGAGCUCAGGGGUCUGAGGAGCCAAGGAGCCUGUCCCUAGGCACGUGCAAAUCCAGAGGCAUCGUCCAGACGCUGGCCACCCCAGGCCACCUGGCAUCUUAGCUCCCCCUGGGUACUAACUACCCUACUAUCUCCUGUCUCUCCUCGCCCCGCCCCACCACCCGGGGAACUGGGACUUAUCAAGACAAAGAACAAAAGUCGUGGGGGAAAGAAGCCAAGAGCCAUCUCCACUCUGGGGUAGGGCCCUCCAGUUUCGCCCCUUUGAAAUUUCAAAUUCCAGUUUGUGGACAAAGUCCUAACUUUCUCACAAUAUAGGUCCCCAACCACUGACCAAACUCCAGUCCAGGCAGCCAGCAGGCCCGGGGCUGGUCCGGCCUUGCUGUCUUUCCCCUGGCAGUUCUCAAGUCCGGGGGGAGGGGUCCUGGGCCAACUGGGGCCUGCCAGGCCAUCCCCGCAGCCCUACUCCACCCCACCCCACAGGGACCCCUGCCUCCCAUCUGAGAGGACAGCUCUCUUCCCGGAGCUGGGAUCUGACGCUUGCUGGUGCCAACAGCAGAUACCAGGCGCAUGACCGGAUUACGCUUUCUUGCUUCCUUUGAAGUUAGACGUGACCAUGUGACUUGUUCUGGCCAAUGAAAUGAGAGCAGAAACAACUGGUGCUUCACACCCGGGCAGAAGCUUGAAGGGUCCGCGCUGGGGCUGUUUCAGAAGCACGUACGGAUAUGGAGUCAUCAGGGUGGGGAGUGCACCCCGCCAGCCCCUGACGGAGAAGUACUGUAAGUGAGCCAUCGGCUCAGCUGUGUAAGCCACUGGGACUUAGGGCCUUUUUGUCAUUAUAGCUCAGCCUCACCUAACUUGACUGCACAGGAUCUUUCCAAAGGUCACUGAUUUUCCUCUGGCCCUUAUGAUUUUUGUUGUAUUCGGAAACCUCCCAUACUAAUACUAAACAUUUUUCUUACAUCAACA